Molecule: ribosomal RNA, 409 nt
Filed under: uncultured Nitrososphaerota archaeon
Lineage: Archaea; Thermoproteati; Nitrososphaerota
Description: bacterial SSU rRNA
Rfam family: Archaeal small subunit ribosomal RNA
Source: RNAcentral
CUGGUGUCAGCCGCCGCGGUAAUACCAGCACCUCGAGUGGUCAGGACGUUUAUUGGGCCUAAAGCAUCCGUAGCCGGCUCUGCAAGUCUUCGGUUAAAUCCACCUGCUCAACAGAUGGGCUGCUGGAGAUACUACAGAGCUAGGGAGUGGGAGAGGCAGACGGUAUUCAGUGGGUAGGGGUAAAAUCCUCUGAUCCAUUGAGGACCACCAGUGGCGAAGGCGGUCUGCCAGAACACGUUCGACGGUGAGGGAUGAAAGCCGGGGGAGCAAACCGGAUUAGAUACCCGGGUAGUCCCAGCUGUAAACGAUGCAAACUCGGUGAUGCAUUGGCUUAUGGCCAAUGCAGUGCCGCAGGGAAGCCGUUAAGUUUGCCGCCUGGGAAGUACGGACGCAAGUCUGAAACUUAAAG